GUGGGGAAUAUUGGACAAUGGGCGCAAGCCUGAUCCAGCCAUGCCGCGUGAGUGACGAAGGUCUUCGGAUUGUAAAGCUCUUUUGGCGGGGACGAUAAUGACGGUACCCGCAGAAUAAGCCCCGGCUAACUUCGUGCCAGCAGCCGCGGUAAUACGAAGGGGGCUAGCGUUGUUCGGAAUCACUGGGCGUAAAGCGCACGUAGGCGGAUUUGCCAGUCAGGGGUGAAAUCCCGGGGCUCAACCUCGGAACUGCCCUUGAUACAGCAAAUCUUGAGUCCGGAAGAGGUGAGUGGAAUUCCUAGUGUAGAGGUGAAAUUCGUAGAUAUUAGGAAGAACACCAGUGGCGAAGGCGGCUCACUGGUCCGGUACUGACGCUGAGGUGCGAAAGCGUGGGGAGCAAACAGGAUUAGAAACCCGAGUAGUCC
This 425-nucleotide ribosomal RNA is filed under the name uncultured bacterium. RNAcentral's name for it is "bacterial SSU rRNA". It matches the Rfam family "Bacterial small subunit ribosomal RNA", at positions 354 to 796 of the family's 1533-position model. The record is from RNAcentral.